The sequence is a ribosomal RNA, 140 nucleotides long. It matches the Rfam family "Bacterial small subunit ribosomal RNA", at positions 1 to 133 of the family's 1533-position model.
CUUAAACUGAAGAGUUUGAUCAUGGCUCAGAUUGAACGCUGGCGGCAGGCCUAACACAUGCAAGUCGAGCGGUAACAGGGGUAGCUUGCUACCCGCUGACGAGCGGCGGACGGGUGAGUAAUGCAUAGGAAUCUGCCCGG